AGUGAACGCUGGCGGCAGGCCUAACACAUGCAAGUCGAACGGCAGCACAGGAGAGCUUGCUCUCUGGUUGGCGAGUGGCGGACGGGUGAGGAGUACAUCGGAAUCUGCCCAGUAGUGGGGGAUAACGUAGGGAAACAUACGCUAAUACCGCAUACGACCUUCGGGGGAAAGAGGGGGACCGCAAUACCUCUCGCGCUUGUAGGAGCCGAUGUCGGAUUAGCUAGUUGGGGGGGUAAUGGCCCACCAAGGCGACGAUCCGUAGCUGGUCUGAGAGGAUGAUCAGCCACACUGGAACUGAGACACGGUCCAGACUCCUACGGGAGGCAGCAGUGGGGAAUAUUGGACAAUGGGCGCAAGCCUGAUCCAGCCAUGCCGCGUGGGUGAAGAAGGCCUUCGGGUUGUAAAGCCCUUUUGUUGGGAAAGAAAUGGUUCAGGCUAAUACCCUGGGAGGAUGACGGUACCCUAAGAAUAAGCACCGGCUAACUUCGUG
RNAcentral lists this ribosomal RNA (490 nucleotides) under uncultured bacterium. RNAcentral's name for it is "partial 16S ribosomal RNA". It matches the Rfam family "Bacterial small subunit ribosomal RNA", at positions 29 to 507 of the family's 1533-position model. The record is from RNAcentral.